RNAcentral lists this ribosomal RNA (2239 nucleotides) under gut metagenome. RNAcentral describes it as "bacterial LSU rRNA". It matches the Rfam family "Bacterial large subunit ribosomal RNA", at positions 481 to 2878 of the family's 2925-position model. The record is from RNAcentral.
UGACCGAUAGCGCAUAGUACUGUGAAGGAAAGGUGAAAAGGACCCCGGGAGGGGAGUGAAAGAGAACCUGAAACCCUGUGUUUACAAGCUGUGGAAGCACGAAACCGCGUACUUUUUGUAGAACGGUCCGGCGAGUUGCGGCUGGCAAGGUUAAGUAAGGUCGGAGCCGAAGGGAACCAAGUCUUAAUAGGGCGGAGUCAGUCGGGCAGACCCGAAACCGGGUGAUCUAUCCAUGUCCAGGUUGAAGUUGCCGUAAAAGGCAAUGGAGGACCGAACGCACAUCCGUUGAAAAGGGUGGCGAUGAGGUGUGGAUAGGGGAGAAAUUCCAAUCGAACCCGGAGAUAGCUGGUUCUCCUCGAAAUAGCUUUAGGGCUAGCCUCAAAGUCUUUGGAGGUAGAGCACUGAUUCCCUAGGGGGCGUCAAAGCUUACCAAGGAAUAUCAAACUCCGAAUGCCAUGAUGGGGGAGUCAGACUGCACGAGAUAAGUUGGGCAGUCAAAGGGAAAGAGCCCAGACCUACAGCUAAGGUCCCAAAGUGUGUGUUAAGUGGAAAAGGAUGUGGGAUUUCAAAGACAACUAGGAUGUUGGCUCAGAAGCAGCCAUACAUUCAAAGAGUGCGUAAUAGCUCACUAGUCGAGAGGUCCUGCGCCGAAAAUGUCCGGGGCUGAAAACACCACCGAAGCUGGAAACUGGUAGAGGAGCAUUCUUAGGGAGAAGCAGUACCGGAAGGAGCUGUGGACAGAAGAGAGAAUGCCGGAAUGAGUAGCGAGAGGAAGGUGGGAAUCCUUCCGGCCGAAUAUCCAAGGUUUCCAGGGUAAAGCUGAUCUGCCCUGGGUAAGUCGGGGCCUAAGGCGAGGCGGAAAGCGUAGCCGAUGGACAACAGGUUGAAUUCCUGUACUGCAGUAUGACAGAACUGUGGGGACACAGAGGAAGCACACCGGGAAAAAGACCGGGGCAAGCGAGGAGAUGGCAAAUCCGCCAAUCCAAAGCGUGAUGCGGACCGAAGAAGUAGGGAAGUGUGCCGCUGUCAAGAAAAGCCGCUAUUGUUAUGCCCGUACCGUAAACCGACACAGGUGGAUGAGGAGAGAAUCCUAAGGCCGACGGGAGAAGCAUUGUUAAGGAACUCGGCAAAAUGACCCCGUAACUUCGGGAGAAGGGGUGCCAAGGGCCGCAGAGAAUUGGCCAAGCAACUGUUUAGCAAAAACACAGGUCUAUGCAAAACCGAAAGGUGAGUAUAUGGGCUGACGCCUGCCCGGUGCUGGAAGGUUAAGGGAGAGGUUAGCGCAAGCGAAGCUUUGAACUUAAGCCCCAGUAAACGGCGGCCGUAACUAUAACGGUCCUAAGGUAGCGAAAUUCCUUGUCGGGUAAGUUCCGACCCGCACGAAAGGCGUAAUGAUUUGGCACUGUCUCGACAAUGCACCCGGUGAAAUUGAAAUACCAGUGAAGAUGCUGGUUACCUGCGCCAGGACGGAAAGACCCCAUGGAGCUUUACUCCAGCUGAUACUGGGAUUCGGUAUUGCAUGUACAGGAUAGGUGGGAGGCGAGAAGUGGGACGCCAGUCGCUGGAGCCGCUGUUGGGAUACCACCCUUGUAUUGGGUUUCUAACCAGCGCCGUGAACCGGCGGGGGACAAUGUCAGGCGGGGAGUUUGACUGGGGCGGUCGCCUCCGAAAGGGUAUCGGAGGCGCUCAAAGGUUCCCUCAGAAUGGUUGGAAACCAUUCGAGAGUGCAAAGGCAGAAGGGAGCUUGACUGCGACACCGACGGGUGGAGCAGGUACGAAAGUAGGACUUAGUGAUCCGGUGGUAUAAAGUGGGAUUGCCAUCGCUCAACGGAUAAAAGCUACCCUGGGGAUAACAGGCUUAUCACUCCCAAGAGUUCACAUCGACGGAGUGGUUUGGCACCUCGAUGUCGGCUCAUCGCAUCCUGGGGCUGGAGUAGGUCCCAAGGGUUGGGCUGUUCGCCCAUUAAAGCGGUACGCGAGCUGGGUUCAGAACGUCGUGAGACAGUUCGGUCCCUAUCCGGCGCGGGCGUAGGAUAUUUGAGAGGAGCUGUCCUUAGUACGAGAGGACCGGGAUGGACUGGCCGCUGGUGACCUGUUGUCCAACAUGGCAGGGUAGCCAAGCCGGGAGGGAUAAACGCUGAAGGCAUCUAAGCGUGAAGCCCCCCUCAAGAUGAGAUAUCCCAUCGAAGGUAAGACCCCUUGAGACGACGAGGUAGAUAGGGCAGGGGUGGAAGUGCAG